CAACGCUGGCGGCGUGCCUAAUACAUGCAAGUCGAGCGGAAUGAUGAAGAAGCUUGCUUCUUCUGAUUUUAGCGGCGGACGGGUGAGUAACACGUGGGCAACCUACCUUGUAGAUUGGGAUAACUCCGGGAAACCGGGGCUAAUACCGAAUAAUCCAUUUUGCUUCAUGGCGAGAUGUUGAAAGACGGUUUCGGCUGUCACUACAAGAUGGGCCCGCGGCGCAUUAGCUAGUUGGUAGGGUAAUGGCCUACCAAGGCGACGAUGCGUAGCCGACCUGAGAGGGUGAUCGGCCACACUGGGACUGAGACACGGCCCAGACUCCUACGGGAGGCAGCAGUAGGGAAUCUUCCACAAUGGACGAAAGUCUGAUGGAGCAACGCCGCGUGAGUGAAGAAGGUUUUCGGAUCGUAAAACUCUGUUGUAAGGGAAGAACACGUACGAGAGUAACUGCUCGUACCUCGACGGUACCUUAUUAGAAAGCCAUGGCUAACUACGUG
Molecule: ribosomal RNA, 497 nt
Filed under: uncultured bacterium
Lineage: Bacteria
Description: bacterial SSU rRNA
Rfam family: Bacterial small subunit ribosomal RNA
Source: RNAcentral